AGCGAACGCUGGCGGCAGGCUUAACACAUGCCAGUCGAGCGGGCAUCCUUGUGGUGUCAGCGGCAGACGGGUGAGUAACGCGUGGGAACGUGCCCUUCGGUUCGGAAUAACUCAGGGAAACUUGGGCUAAUACCAGAUACGUGCGAGAGCAGAAAGGUUUAUCUGCCGAAGGAUCGGCCCGCGUCUGAUUAGCUAGUUGGUGAGGUUAUGGCUCACCAAGGCGACGAUCAGUGGCUGGUCUGAGAGGAUGAUCAGCCACACUGGGACUGAGACACGGCCCAGACUCCUACGGGAGGCAGCAGUGGGGAAUAUUGGACAAUGGGGGCAACCCUGAUCCAGCCAUGCCGCGUGAGUGAUGACGGCCUUAGGGUUGUAAAGCUCUUUUCUCCGGGACGAUAAUGACGGUACCGGAGGAAUAAGCCCCGGCUAACUUCGUG
RNAcentral lists this ribosomal RNA (437 nucleotides) under uncultured bacterium. RNAcentral describes it as "partial 16S ribosomal RNA". It matches the Rfam family "Bacterial small subunit ribosomal RNA", at positions 29 to 507 of the family's 1533-position model. The record is from RNAcentral.